CUUGGUGUAACCGUUGUCAGUCCAGAUUUGCAAAUUGUCAAUAAUUCCUGUUGCAACUGCAAUCCGUCACUAUUAUGGCCUGUAAAUAUCCAAGUUUUUCAGUGUUUUCAAAGCCUGGAACACUGCCAUGAGCUCUGCGUACUGUCCUGUGCCUUGCACUACUCCCUCUUUUGAAGCUAUGACCUUGUUGCUCUGUUUCAGAAUCAAAAGCCCAGUGAGCUUCCUUGUCUGCAGCCGUUUUUGAGCCAUCUGUGAAAACAACUGUAUUUUUAUAAAGCUCUAAUUUCUUUUUCUGUCAUUUUUUAAGUUCUUUUUGUCUGAUUUUCAUAUCUGGAUCUAGAAGCAUUUCCCAUCUCUGCCAUCAGCUAUUAAGCGCACGGUCAUCCUUUACAUUGUUUUGGAGAGAUGAGCUACUAGAUACUGCUGUUUUCAUGUUAACAAAUAUUAUUUGGCCCCUUGCCAGGCCUUUCAACUCGGAAAUAUCGUUUUCUAAGUGCUGCCAGCUGCUUCUUCACACCAGUAAAUUUAAGUGGUUCUUGGAUCUCCCAGCUUCCAGUCAUAAUUUUAACAGGACCAUUCCCGACGGCUGAGAGAAUCCUGGCUGGUUGUUGUCCUCCCUUUUCUCAAUAAUUUUUUCAAGUUCAUCCUGAUUUAUGUUAGUCAAUAAUAAAUUUAUGGUCAAUUGACCUUCCUGUGACAUAUCUGUAAUUCCCAAUAGUAUGCCUUCUAAUACUGAAUUAACCGGGUGUUUAAAUUGUCCUGUUUCCAUUAAAGUCAUAUGUAUUUAA
Molecule: long non-coding RNA, 788 nt
Organism: Carassius auratus (goldfish)
Lineage: Eukaryota; Metazoa; Chordata; Actinopteri; Cypriniformes; Cyprinidae
Exons: 2
Source: RefSeq, a predicted model, not a curated record